Molecule: ribosomal RNA, 485 nt
Filed under: uncultured bacterium
Lineage: Bacteria
Description: partial 16S ribosomal RNA
Rfam family: Bacterial small subunit ribosomal RNA
Source: RNAcentral
AGUGAACGCUGGCGGCGUGCUUAACACAUGCAAGUCGAUCGAGAACGGGAUAUAGCUUGCUAUAUUUGUCAGCUAAGUGGCGCACGGGUGAGUAAUGUAUAGAUAACCUGCCCUCUAGAAAGGAAUAACAGUUGGAAACGACUGCUAAUGCCCUAUAUGCCUUUAAUACAUAAGUAUGCAAGGGAAACGCUUUAGUGCUAGAGGAUGGGUCUGUAUGGUAUCAGCUUGUUGGUGAGGUAAUGGCUCACCAAGGCUAUGACGCCUAACUGGUUUGAGAGGAUGAACAGUCAUACUGUAACUGAAACACGUUACAGACUCCUAUGGGAGGCAGCAGUGUGGAAUAUUGCAAAAUGGACGAAAGUCUGAUGCAGCAACGCCGCGUGGAGGAUGACACAUUUCGGUGCGUAAACUCCUUCUAUAUAGGAAGAUAAUGGCGGUACUAUAUGAAUAAGCACCGGCUAACUCCGUGCCAGCCGCCGCGGUAA